CUCCUACGGGAGGCAGCAGUAGGGAAUAUUGGUCAAUGGGCGCAAGCCUGAACCAGCCAUGCCGCGUGCAGGAUGACGGCCUUCUGGGUUGUAAACUGCUUUUAUCAGGGAAGAAAACGGCCAUGCGUGGCAGAUUGACGGUACCUGAAGAAUAAGCACCGGCUAACUCCGUGCCAGCAGCCGCGGUAAUACGGAGGGUGCAAGCGUUGUCCGGAUUUAUUGGGUUUAAAGGGUGCGUAGGCGGAUUAUUAAGUCAGUGGUGAAAGUUUGCGGCUCAACCGUAAAAGUGCCAUUGAUACUGGUAGUCUUGAGUACAGUAGAGGUAGGCGGAAUUUAUGGUGUAGCGGUGAAAUGCAUAGAUACCAUAAAGAACACCGAUAGCGAAGGCAGCUUACUAUACUGAGACUGACGCUGAGGCACGAAAGCGUGGGGAGCGAACAGGAUUAGAUACCCUGGUAGUCCACGCUGUAAACGAUGAAGACUCGCUGUUGGCGAUACACAGCCAGUGGCCAAGCGAAAGCGUUAAGUCUUCCACCUGGGGAGUACGAUCGCAAGAUUGAAACUCAAAGGAAUUGACGG
Molecule: ribosomal RNA, 579 nt
Filed under: uncultured bacterium
Lineage: Bacteria
Description: bacterial SSU rRNA
Rfam family: Bacterial small subunit ribosomal RNA
Source: RNAcentral